This 253-nucleotide ribosomal RNA is filed under the name uncultured bacterium. RNAcentral's name for it is "partial 16S ribosomal RNA". It matches the Rfam family "Bacterial small subunit ribosomal RNA", at positions 524 to 776 of the family's 1533-position model. The record is from RNAcentral.
UACGAAGGGGGCUAGCGUUGUUCGGAAUUACUGGGCGUAAAGCGCGCGCAGGCGGUCUUCCAAGUCAGUGGUGAAAGCCUGGAGCUCAACUCCAGAACUGCCAUUGAAACUGUUAGACUUGAGUACGAGAGAGGUGAGUGGAAUUCCCAGUGUAGAGGUGAAAUUCGUAGAUAUUGGGAAGAACACCAGUGGCGAAGGCGGCUCCCUGGCUCGUAACUGACGCUCAGGCGCGAAAGCGUGGGGAUCAAACAGG